RNAcentral lists this ribosomal RNA (496 nucleotides) under uncultured bacterium. Its description in RNAcentral is "partial 16S ribosomal RNA". It matches the Rfam family "Bacterial small subunit ribosomal RNA", at positions 28 to 506 of the family's 1533-position model. The record is from RNAcentral.
GAUGAACGCUGGCGGCGUGCCUAAUACAUGCAAGUCGAGCGAACGGACGAGAAGCUUGCUUCUCUGAUGUUAGCGGCGGACGGGUGAGUAACACGUGGAUAACCUACCUAUAAGACUGGGAUAACUUCGGGAAACCGUAGCUAAUACCGGAUAAUAUUUUGAACCGCAUGGUUCAAAAGUGAAAGACGGUCUUGCUGUCACUUAUAGAUGGAUCCGCGCUGCAUUAGCUAGUUGGUAAGGUAACGGCUUACCAAGGCAACGAUGCAUAGCCGACCUGAGAGGGUGAUCGGCCACACUGGAACGGAGACACGGUCCAGACUCCUACGGGAGGCAGCAGUAGGGAAUCUUCCGCAAGGGGCGAAAGCCUGACGGAGCAACGCCGCGGGAGUGAUGAGGGUCUUCGGAUCGUAAAACUCUGUUAUGAGGGAAGAACAUAUGUGUAAGUAACUGUGCACAUCUGGACGGUACCUAAUCAGAAAGCCACGGCUAACUACGU